GUAGUCCACGCCGUAAACGAUGAGCACUAGGUGUCGGGGUCGUAAGACUUCGGUGCCGCAGUUAACGCAAUAAGUGCUCCGCCUGGGGAGUACGUUCGCAAGAAUGAAACUCAAAGGAAUUGACGGGGACCCGCACAAGCAGCGGAGCAUGUGGUUUAAUUCGAAGCAACGCGAAGAACCUUACCAGGGCUUGACAUCUCCUUGACCGGUCGGUAAAGCGACCUUUCUUCGGACAAGGAUGACAGGUGGUGCAUGGUUGUCGUCAGCUCGUGUCGUGAGAUGUUGGGUUAAGUCCCGCAACGAGCGCAACCCUUGUCAUUAGUUGCCAUCAUUAAGUUGGGCACUCUAGUGAGACUGCCGGGGAUAACCUGGAGGAAGGUGGGGAUGACGUCAAAUCAUCAUGCCCCUUAUGCUUAGGGCUACACACGUGCUACAAUGGGUGGUACAGAGGGCAGCCAAGUCGUGAGGCGGAGCUAAUCCCUUAAAGCCAUUCUCAGUUCGGAUUGUAGGCUGAAACUCGCCUACAUGAAGCUGGAGUUACUAGUAAUCGCAGAUCAGAAUGCUGCGGUGAAUGCGUUCCCGGGUCUUGUACACACCGCCCGUCACACCACGGAAGUUGGGGGCGCCCGAAGCCGGAUUGCUAACCUUUUGGAAGCGUCCGUCGAAGGUGAAAUCAAUAACUGGGGUG
This 688-nucleotide ribosomal RNA is filed under the name uncultured bacterium. Its description in RNAcentral is "bacterial SSU rRNA". It matches the Rfam family "Bacterial small subunit ribosomal RNA", at positions 790 to 1482 of the family's 1533-position model. The record is from RNAcentral.